Molecule: ribosomal RNA, 301 nt
Filed under: uncultured bacterium
Lineage: Bacteria
Description: partial 16S ribosomal RNA
Rfam family: Bacterial small subunit ribosomal RNA
Source: RNAcentral
CAGCAGCCGCGGUAAUACAGAGGGUGCAAGCGUUAAUCGGAAUUACUGGGCGUAAAGCGCGCGUAGGUGGUUUGUUAAGUUGGAUGUGAAAGCCCCGGGCUCAACCUGGGAACUGCAUCCAAAACUGGCAAGCUAGAGUACGGUAGAGGGUGGUGGAAUUUCCUGUGUAGCGGUGAAAUGCGUAGAUAUAGGAAGGAACACCAGUGGCGAAGGCGACCACCUGGACUGAUACUGACACUGAGGUGCGAAAGCGUGGGGAGCAAACAGGAUUAGAUACCCCCGUAGUCCCUGUCUCUAUACA